RNAcentral lists this ribosomal RNA (406 nucleotides) under uncultured bacterium. Its description in RNAcentral is "partial 16S ribosomal RNA". It matches the Rfam family "Bacterial small subunit ribosomal RNA", at positions 30 to 526 of the family's 1533-position model. The record is from RNAcentral.
AUUGAACGCUGGCGGCAGGCCUAACACAUGCAAGUCGAACGAGUAGCUGACGGGUGAGAAAUGUCUGGGAAACUGCCCGAUGGAGGGGGAUAACUACUGCACACGGUAUCUAAUACCGCAUACCAUCGGAUGUGCCCAUAUGGGCUUAGCUAGUAGGUGGGUUAACGGCUGACGUAGUCGACGAUCCCUAGCUGUUCUGAGAGGAUGACCAGCAAAACGGGCGCUGAAGCAGGGUCCAGCCGUCUACGGCAGGAAGAAGGGGGGAAUAUUGAACAGUGGGCGCAAGACUGUGGUAGCCAUGCAGCGUGUAUGAAGAAGGUCGUUGGGUUGUCAAGUACUUUCAGCGAGGAGGCGUUCCUCGCAGAAGAAGCCCCGGCUAACUCCGUGCCAGCAGCCGCGGUAAUAC